Long non-coding RNA from Halichondria panicea, 2840 nucleotides. RefSeq lists it as uncharacterized. The transcript has 3 exons. NCBI's taxonomy places the organism in Eukaryota, Metazoa, Porifera, Demospongiae, Suberitida, Halichondriidae. The record is from RefSeq and is a predicted model, not a curated record.
GAGAGGGUGUAUAGGGGAUAAGGCAUGAUGUUCAUUAAACAGGAACGGAUCACCAAACCGGCCAACCUUUAGAAUAUGCGCUGUUUUAGGCUGGGGAUUCACAGUUAUCUUCUACAGUAGGAGGGGGAAUAUCUUUCAUUGAAAUAGUAUACAUGUUACAGUUUUUGUUAGUGUCAGAUACAUAAAUGUUUAUGUACCUAGGACUCAUAAAACACACAAAACCGUAACAAAAAUUUAAUGGUUUUGCAAUGUAUGUUCAAUGGCAUAAUUACGCAAAUUACAUAACCGUUUAUGAUCGUUCCCGAGUAAACAUUUGCUAAACAUAAUUAUUAUAGAUCUAGAUCUUGAGCAUAACAUUGCAGUUUUACCUGCCAACAGCUAGAACAAUUUCUCUAGCUUUAGUAGUUGCUGUGUAUUGUUCCUUAUCCCUGCUUGUAUAAUUGUUUUUAUCGCAUUAAUCGUUUCUUGUUGUCCUAGUGAACCAAUUUCAACAGUAUUGUAAGUUACUGACCAACCACUAUUUGAUGUUAUCUUCAAAGAGACUCGGGUAUACUCUGUUUUCUUUGUCUAUUAUAGCCUGUUUUAAAUUAUCUAGUGUAUUGUUUGCUCUAACACCUGAAUCACAUCAGAUACGAUACUAAGUCUGGUCUUAAAGAGUGAUCAGAUGGUUAUUGAGGAUGGUAUUGUAGCUUGAGGUGAAUCAGUGUACAUGAUUGCUGAUAGUACCAAAAGACUCUUCACAAGCUUUUCAAAACUGAAUCAUGUUGCCAGGUGUAUCUACUUUUUGUUGAGUGCUUUUGUGAAACUACUUAGUAUGUGAGCUGUUAUAGGUUUGGUUUUUUAUAGUUAACACCUACUAUCACACUGUAUUUUUGUCCUUCUCUUUAACGUUCAUAGCUGCAACUAAGUUAUAGGAAGAGUGUCAGAACCCGCCUUAAAAGGAAAGAUAGUCGAUUCUGAGUCCAAUAUGGAUGCAUGGUGAUAGAUCGCUGAGUAGAGAGGCAUCAUCAAUUAGACGCUGCCAACAUGCAUAUCCUGUGUCAUAUAUGCUGGUUUCCAAGUAGCAGCAGCCAAUGCCAUUUGAUCAUCUACGUGUCGUAAAAGGGAGUACACCAACUAGAGUACAAUACAUGGUAUACACACUUCCAAAAUAGUCGUACGUCAUAUAUAUGUUGGUUUACAAAUAUACACACUGUCAAAAUAGUUGUGGUCAUAUGCUGGUUUCCAAGUAGCCAAUGACAGUUAUGUGUCAUAACAGGACUACAUUGAACCGGAGUACAAUGACUUCUGCAUGUUAUGACACAUAUAAACAUGAAUUAGAGUACAAUACAAAGGAAGCAUCUUACACUUUGGCAGUGUGUACAUAUUAUAGUAUAUAUACACACUGCCAAAGUAGUCCUUCGUCAUAUAUACUGGUUUCCAAGCAGCAGCCAAUGACAUUUGAGCAUAGUACAUGAAUUAUAAAGAUUUUGUGUUUUACAAAUACACACUGCCAACAUAGUUGUGCGUCAUUUCCAGUCAUCAGAAGUACAUGAAGGGGAGCAGCGAUACAUGGUCAUGUCAACCCACACAUUUUACAUUACUACAAGUGUUUGUGACGUAUACUCAUGCAAAACAAGUAUUUAUAUGGCGUGUAUAUAUAGAAGUUGCUUAUACUUUCCUUCAUGUAUACUCCUGGUUGCCAGCCAUAAUGACAUCCAAGGGAUUGGAAUGAGAUUCAUCAUACAAUAGAACCUACAUUUCACCGUGUGAGCGAUUAGUAUAUAAAACCCUCAACUAAGUGACCAUUAUAUUUUCGUAAAUUGGUAUAGUAAGUCUCAUCAAAAUGGCACUGAAAGCUGUUCUCUUCAUAAUUGUGACUCUGGCAAUAGUCGGCAAAGCUACCUCGGAGAGCUGUGGUGCUCAGUUCAGAAGUUUAGUUCACAAAACAAUCAGUCUAAAGGAGAGCUGUGAUGAUGCUGUGUUUAAUGACUGUUGUCAGAUUGCAAAGGUUUCCAGAAUAUACACCAGCAAGCCGUUGGAGUCAGGAAUUUACGACAUAAGUCCCAACAAAACCAUGCCCGUCAUGUUCACCUAUUCUUCAAAAAUGAAAGCUAGGUGCAAUAUGGAAAGCAAUGACGGAGGUUGGACUGUGCUUGUUCGAAGAGUUCUAGGCGGCAACCUUACAUUUGGAAGGGGGUGGACUGAAUACGAAAACGGAUUCGGUGAUUUGAAUACUGAGUUUUGGUAUGGCCUUAAAAACAUGUAUUAUCUUACGAAUCUUGAGCCAAUGGAAGUAGAAGUAGAAUUUAAACAAGUCGGAAGUGCUAAAAUCGUUCUAGGUUAUGGUCAUUUCUUAAUUGACGGUCUGGAUACAAAAUACACGCUCCACGUGUCUCAGCCAAAACAGACAGGAGGAUUUGAUUCGUUCGCUCAUCACAACGGCAGAAAAUUCUCAACAAAUGACAGUGAAAAUGACGAUCACGGUUCUAAUUGUGUUCAGAGCUAUGGUGGCGGUGGGGGGUGGUGGUUUGGAGCCUGCUGGGAUCUAACACUAACAAACACAAAACCAAGCAUGCAUGUUGGGGGAGACAGGUAUGUAAAUUAUGAUUUUGCAGAGCUAAGGAUUCGACCAAAGACCUGUGUGGAGAAAACCUGUGUUUAGCUCGAGAUCUAUACAGAUGAGAGAUAAUUUAAACUGACAUGCAGAGACAGAUUAAUACUUACAGCUAGUGUAUAGUCGCAUGCAAUGGUUGGUAGCAGUAUAGUAUAGAACUGUAGCAGUAGCUAUGUAUAUAAAUAUUAUGAUUGUAAUUUCAUUAUGAAUGAGUUUAUAAUUAUAUAAUUAGAUCACAAUACUA